GUCUAGGGCCAUACCACCCUGAACACACCCGAUCUCGUCUGAUCUCGGAAGCUAAGCAGGGUCGGUCGGGCCUGGUUA
Molecule: ribosomal RNA, 78 nt
Filed under: Mustela putorius furo (domestic ferret)
Lineage: Eukaryota; Metazoa; Chordata; Mammalia; Carnivora; Mustelidae
Source: RNAcentral